AUGAUCUCUUCCCGAACCAAACAUGAAUCUUUUGAUUCAUUUGGCUCUCCCGCUCCUUUGUUUCUCUUUUGCUAUGUAUUAUGGCUAUUUCCGUAUCUUUUUUUAUUUAAUGAGCCUAUCUUCUAUCCUCUCUUUUCUGUUUGUACUUCUAUAUACCCAAACUUAUAUAAGACUAGAUGAAUAUUAAGAGGACUCUUCCAACUAGAUAAAAAUCUAUCAUGCUCAGCAAAGUUGUUUCCUUACUUGUGUUUGCUCUGUUAGUUAAUAAUUUCAAUUUCAUUAAGAAAAACAAACUAAAUAAAUGGAAAAUAAAAAUUGAUACAAUUCCUUUUAUUUUUUCUUCAAAUCCAAAAAAUUGUCUUUUUUUAUACAUAGGUCAUCAAUUCAGCAUUGGAAAAAGGGCUAGGCCCUUCUAGUAAAUAGUUCAAACUAUUUUAUCGAUAUGAGUGUUCUAUAUCAGAUAAAUUUCACACUAGCUAUUUCCCGUUUAAAGCAUUUCGAGACUAAUACUAAUGUUACUUCUUGCGUCGGAGAUCAAGUUUCUCCACCUUUGAAGGUCUACGCCUCGGAUCGGCUACUCUUCCAAUCGCCAGGAGACCUUUGAUCACUUCAGGCUUCAAUGCGUAGAUUGGAGGUUGCCGUCUUCGCAACCGUUCAUCCUUGGUCCUUGGGAGACCUUCGGUCACUGAGGUGGUAUUUCCUACAAAAAUGAGUUGACACAGCCAGAAAUUGCUCUACCGAAGGUUGUUAUAGUGAGUCUUUUGAUGCCUCGGCUCACCCGCAACCUCCAAUCAGUCGUUAUGGAGGUGACAAUCCCCAACACCUCCCCUUUCGCCAAAUGGAAGGUUUUGUCAAUCAUAGGGUUUCCAUGCAGAUGCCUCACCCAGAAGGUACCCAACCAAUGUUGGAAAAGCAUUAUAAAUACCCCUGAAGAAUGCAAUGAGGAGGGGGUUAUUUAGGGUUUCAUGAAUUGACCGCUUUCUUCAGCCAAACCAUCACCACCUCAAGCAGAGGAAUAGGGAUUAGAUUAGGUCAUCACACCAUGACUCAAAGGAGAUGAUGUGUAGGCGAAGGUACACCCUAGGCCGAUCAGCAUGGUGUUCAAGCCGAUCGACUUGGGCACUUCUAUUGUUGCAUCAUCACCAUCUUUGAUCGCGGCAUUCUUCAAAGUCAGAACAACCUCUUUUAUACAUCAAGAUCUAUAAGAUGAUAGGGUAAAGUUUUUAUCCUUCCUAGCAUGAUUGCCAUCUUUGAUCACGACGUUCGUCAGAGUCAGAACAACCUCUUUAUACAUCAAGAUCUAUAAGAUGAUAGGGUAAAGCUUUUAUCCUUCCUAGGAUUGAUUGGAUCUUUGAUAUGUAAAUGCUUCAUGUACUUUAUACCUAUCAAUGCUACAUGGUCCAUGUCCUUGUAAUGAUUAUUUAAUCACCAACAGCACCCUCAUCCAAGAUGCAUCUCCUAUGAUAAAUCAGAAGUAAGUCGUGGUCAUCUGCAUCUUCAAUAUGUUUGCUCCUGUUAGCUGUGCAAAAAGCACUUCUCUGAUGUGGGUACAUCAAAGAUGUGCCCUAUUUAGACAUAUCUCAAAUGAUCGCCCUAGCAUUGGAGACGCAUGAUGUUCAGCCGUGUCUCCAAUGUACCAUAUCAUCAGAGAUACGGCUGAGCAGAGCAUGUCUCCGAUGAUAAGAAUGAUCAUGUGAAACGUGGACAAGGCGAGGCUUGUGGCCAAAAGCUAUACUCAGAAAUGAGAUAUUGGUUGGGCCUUGAUAGUCAAAUGUAUAACCCUAACAAUCUAUACCUUUAGCUGCACCUAAGGUAUUAUUCUAAAUUGCAUUGGUUAGCUGCACCUAAAGUACACUUCUUACAGAAUAUAUUGUUCUCUGUUGCUAGGAGUUUGUUAGAGCAUGGCUAAUAAUUUAGCACGUUGCUAGUUUUAUACUAGUACCAUAUCACUUACAGUCCAUCAAAUAGCCAAUUCAUAUAAUAGUCUAUUCUUCGUAUAGGUUCCAUCAUUAAUACGUGGCACACCUUAUCCUCUCACAAUGUAUCUUGAAACAUGUGUCUCAUCUGGCUAUAAGCUUGCAACCCGUUUCUCCUCUCUCUUAUCUCCUCUCGCCUCCACCUCAGCAUUAAUGUGACGUGAUAACUCAAACAGCCCGCCUACACAUCUUAUAAUAGUUAGAGCCCCUUUGGCAGAGGUUUUGGAACGGCUUCACCUGAAGCUGUACCAAAGAGGCAUUUUGGAAACAGCUACAUGCAUGAAGCAUCUCGUGAAGCCGGAAACGGUUACACUAGCAGGAGGAGCUAGAAUUACUGGCUUCACCGGCUUCACCUCUUCAAUCCAUUCAUAAAAAAUAGGGAGAUGUCAUUUCACCAAACAUUUUUCAAAAUAACUUUAGCUCCAUUAGAAAAGCUGCUUCACUAGAGGAGCUGCAGCUGAAGCUUUUUUUGGAGGAACCACAACCAUGCCAAACAGGCUCUUACUCUUAUCCUUUUAGUUCUAUGAUAUGAAUCAAUGUGCAGAUUUGUGAUCUCCUUUUCAUUUGUGUUUUUUGGCAGGUUUCCUAGGAGGCAGAUCUUGGUUAAUCCACUUGGCAGUCACAUCGCGUAUCCAAGAAGAAUAAUAGCAGAGGUAAUUGUGUCUAGAUUUUAUUUUAUUUAUUUUGCCUGGUUGGUACAUCAACCUAGUGAGGAUCUGGUUUCAAAGCAGUAUGUUAUGUGCUAUUUCUUACUUUUCAUCAAACAAGUGACACCUGUUGUAACUUUAUGGUGAUCUGAACAUGCAGUAUGUUGAUAGAUGAUGGGUGGCUCAAGUAGCUAUGCAUGCAUGGGCUUUCUUUUUUAGGUCUUCUCCGGAUAUGCUAGUAGAUAUUAGUAGGGGUCUGGUGGUCAAAUGUAUGACCCUACCAGUUUACUAUUAGCUGCACUAAAUUAUUAUUUUCUAAACUGUAUGGCCUAUAGUAUUGCUUAUGACUUGGCUGCUCCAGCAAGUAACAAUGCAAGUCCAACACGUGAUGGCGGUGAAUCUUCAAGCCGAGAUGGUAACGGAAGGAAGAGAAUUCGUGCGAUGCUGGAAGAUGAUGAUCCCGUGAUAUGGAUGCCUAAAGAGUUUAUGCUCUCUUAAGUAUUUUGGUACAAAUUAUUUAUGAAUGAUAAUUUUCAUUAGAUAGAUUUGUUAUUUUUAUUCAUCCAAAAGUUACUGCGUUAAUGUAUCUGAGAUGGAUGCGAAAAUUGUAACACAAAAUGUGACGUGGGUUUAGAUCUGUGUGCAUGUAAUUCUCUCUUGUACAUUGGUUGUUUCCAGAACAGAACAGGUAAUUAGCACCUUAUUACUCAUUCCCCCCGACUAGAUAGCGCACUGGUCCACUCUAUUCCACAAACCAAACAACAUAUUGGUUCACUUCAUUCCGCUAACCAAACGCAAUCUUUAAAAACCAUCCGACUGCAACUCUGCAAGGGACCAGUCCAUGCCGGAUCAGUUGAUUCCGGAUGGGGUCAUUACACAAACCAAACAGGCCGUUAGUGUUAUCAUUCAAAUGAAAUACACUGCAUUUUUGAGCAUUCCACGUUCAAAAUAGGCUUACAGCCUGACUCAAGUAGAAUGAUCUCGCUUAUGGAAAACCUAACACUUUCGCAAUUGUUACAUGUGAAAAGAUUUAUCUAAAAAUGCUAUGUUUAGAACAAGGACACAGAUGAAGAUGGCAUCGCAUAUGCAGAGCACAUCUCACAUUCCAUUAUCAUUCCGUGUGAAAAGGGAAAAAUACUAUGUUUAGAACAAGGACACAAACGAAGAACCAGCACUGUGAUAGGAGGAUGAGUCCCGAUCUUUCAAAAGGUACGGUAAACUUGAAUGGUGGAGAACUUGACGUUGAUAAACCAAGGCUCCGAACGAACAGAACCUCGCAAUCACUAUACCACUGCUCCGUUGGUUAUCACCCGUGUCACACGAAUGACCUCGCCACGAAGGCUUAUCCCUGCAAGCGCAAUCAAGAACACAAGCAAGAACAGGAGAUGCAAUCAAACAAAGUUGAUUACGAGAUAGGGUCUCACAAACCGAUAAACGGCGAUACUGUUCGAUGAUAGAUUGAAUCUAAGUAAAACCCAAACCCUACUAUAGCGACGGCUACUGAAUAAAAAGGAGUUAGGGGCAUGCAAGUCCCCUGGACACAACCCUAAUGGGUUCCAACACGGUACACGGGCUAACAGCCCAACAGACGGUGACACAGCACCCUGACAUAUUCUGGAUGCCCACUUGUGUCGAUGAUUCCUGUCGACUCAGAAGGAAUUUUGAGGUGGGACCGGUGCCAUUGGAAGCUCUAUGAAAUUCUAGUUCCAACCAUAUAUAGAACGUCCAAAUCUGACUCCGUAUAUGGCCAGAGCGUCAAUUUUGGUGAAGUUAGGUUCUGGAAUCCAAGGUUGAGUAACAACCUCCACAUUCACCAAAUUGUUGCAGCUACCUCCGUCAAUAAUUAUAUGUACACGGCAGUCCUUGACGACAAGAAACAUGUUGAAAAGAUUGUGACGUUGGUGUUUGUCGUCCUCUCCCACCGUGGCGCUCAAAGCUCAGUGCACAAUUAAGGUCCUGUAGUUGUUGGUCGCAGAUGUACCAAGAACCGCCUCAGCACCAUCAUCGGAACCUAAAAUUUUAGCUGCAAUAAUAUUUUCAUCUUCAAUAUCAGAAGCACUAAUAUGCCCACGAUCAGCAGUAGCAAUGAUCGCCCGUUUGCUAGGGCAAUCUCGCAGCAUAUGGCCAAAUCCCUAGCAGCGGUGGCACUUGAUGUCGGAUGUGCGACCAGUGGAAGUGUUGGGCACCAUAGCCUUUGCUGCAACACCAGGAGGCGUCUGGGACUUGCUGCUGUCUUGUGCCUUUGAUGUUGAAGGUGCGGUGCUGUGUACAACACCGGUGGAGGGAGGUGUGGCCGCACGUAUGCUCGAGGAGGGCGCCGCUUUGGCUGGCGCUGGAAGCUGUCGUGGCGUGAAGGUGUUGUUCCGCCGCUGCUGUUGGUGACCCUGCAGUUCUUUUUCUGCCAAUAUAGCAAGUGGAAACAAACAUUGUAUAGAAUUAUAUUCCUUAUAAUCAACUAUGUCCUGGAUCUCACGCCGCAAGCCCCCAUAAAACCUAACAAUCUGGUCUUCCUGAUCCUCAACUACCCCACAACAAAGCAUACCUUUCUGCAACUCUUGGUAGUACUCUUGGACAGACAUGUCACCCUGAUCAAAGCGUUGUAAUUUCUUAUGAAGAUCAUGUCUAUAUGAUGGAGGAACAAACCUAGCGCGCAUCUCUUCUUUUAACGCAGUCCAUAUCUGUGGGGCAUUACGUGCAUUGACAAGUUCAUUCCACCAAACGAUAGCAAAAUCUUUAAACUCACUAGUGGCUUGUCUAACUCUAUGACGCUCAGGAACAAGAUGGGAGCUAAAUUUCUGUUCUACCGUCAUCUCCCAAUCCAUGUAAGUCUCAGCAUCAUAAGAUCCAUAAAACGGUGGAAUGGAAAACUUAAUCUUAGCAUAAGGAUCAUUAUCUUGCUCAGGAGCAUUAGGAUGAUGUCUACCAUUGCCUCCCAUACCUUGACGAUGACGUAGAAAGCGAUGGCACUGCUGUGCAUCAACCUCGUCGUAGUCGAACUCGUCCUUUGUGUCGUUGGGAGCAAGGCCGCUGGCAGCAGGGAUGAUGGGGGGUGGAACAUGGUGGGGAAAACGAGCCUCCACCGUGUCCAGCCGUGCGGCAAGACCAUCAACACUUGUAUGAAUCCUCUGAAAGGUGGCUGUUGUAGUGGUCUGGUACUUGUUGAAAGCGUCAGUCAUCUCCCGCAUCAUAUCUUUUAGUUCCAUAUGGGACACGCACUCAUUAUCGUCCGGAGGUGUAGAAGGAGAGGUCUCGUCCAUCAGCGCCUUUCCUGUCAUGGUUAGAACAAAACAGAAAUGAUGGCAAAAGGAUGUGAACCCUAUGACUACACUCUCUGAAGUGGAAGUGGAAAACAAGCAGUAAGAUGCGUCUUACCACUCUCUUACAAGUGUAUUACCAGCACUGCAGGUGGAAAAUGGUGACCGGUAUGACAACACGAAGAGAGUGGGUGUGAUUGCAAAGGUUACCUGUUCUGCUCGGGAGAAGGUGGAGCUUGGGAAGGCUCAAAUGCAGUAUAUAUAUGUGGCACACAAGUUAGUAACAGAUAGCAAUGCUGAAUAAGUGUCCAAAGAACUUGACCUAGUUGCUGGCCUAAAAAUGUAUUAGAAUAGUUGUGGUAGCAAGAAAGCAACAAGGAUGAAAGAUAAUGAACAAUAAAGGUAGUAUCAUUCAGCAGCUCACACAGAAAAAUAGCAAGUAUCCCACUAUUUUGUCUUUUAGCACCAGUAGGAAUCAAAUUUUUGUUUUUUUACUUUUGCUUUUUGAUAUUUUUUUCUCAACCAGGGGUACAAGGGAAUGAACAACACCAAAUAUCAGCUCAAACUGAUGAAAGAUGUGAUCGGUACAAAUUCAGGAGCGUUUGGAAAAACAGGUGCUGGAACUUCGGAGCCCGAAUCAAGUGCCUUCCUGAUUUUUUUUGAAUUUUUUGAGAACACCCAACCCGGCAUAGCGGGGGAAAUGUAUGUGCAACUUUUUGAUAGCUUUCCAGGAAAAAAAAUUCACCUCAAUCGGAGUUCCGAGCGAAAAGUUAUGCCCGUUUUAAGGAGGACCCUCCGAAUUAGGUUUUGUGGCGGUGGAAACUGAAUCGGAUGCGAACCGGUGGAUCGGUGGUGGAUGGAAAAUUAUUUGUAGAUUGAUUUAUUUUUUGGGAGAUGGCAGCGGAUGGAAGAAACAAAACUGAACUAAAACAAAUCUAAACCAGCACUGUUCGACACUGUUCGAUGACAGAUUGAAUCUAAGCAAAACUCGAACCCUAAUAUGGCGACGGCUACUGAAUAAAAAGGAGUUAGUGAUGCGCAAGUGCCCUGGACGCAACCCUAAUGGGUUCCAACACGGUACACGGGCCAAUGGCCCAACAGACGGUGACACAGCACCCUGACAGAUCUGGACACCCACUUGUGUUGAUGAUUCCUGUCGGCUCAGAAGGAAUUUUGAGGUGGAACCGGUGCCAUUGGAAGCUCUAUAAAAUUCUGAUUCCAACCAUAUAUAGAACGUCCAAAUCCGACUCCGUAUAUGGCUAGAGCGUCAAUUUUGGUGAAGUUAGGUUCUCGAAUCCAAGGUGGAGUCGAAGUCGAGUUGGACAUGGACUCCUCCUUGGUGUGGAUAUCCUAGCUCGUCCUUCUUGACUUAUUGGCCUUCUCCAAGUCCUUACUGAUCCUCUCCAUUGUUCAUGCAUGUAACCAAACGUAAGUUCAAAAAACAACUAAUAAGAUUAGAACGUACUUGGAGAUCUUGGAGAUCCAGCUGUCGCGCACGUGUUUUAGUGAUCUAUGCAAAGAAGAGAUAUCCUCGUCACACCGCAACAGUACCACUGGGCCAUGAACACCACCACUAACGGGCUGGGGUUUAAAUUUACUCAGAACCAGCACAUCCGUUCCCAAAUUUUUGCAAGCCUCCCGUGUGUCUGUUCCAGUCUAAAAUAACCCGAAAGCAAUUUAGUCUUCGGGACUCAAGAGCAAACGCCAAAGGGCUAUAGAUAAAUAAGACUAGAUUUACACAAUCCUGUGCCGUAUUUGAAAUUUAAACUGGUACAACUCUAAAAACUGCUCGAUCCCGAUCUCUCCAUAAAAAACUAGCAAGGAAUGAAAACUGUAGCUGUUCAACUACUUGCCAGACAUAAUCUCGGAAGUGCAAGGCUCGAGGAAGUCACAUUAUGCACAUCAAACCCGAAACAGAAAGCAAAGUCCAAUCUACCUUCACACAUAAUAACGUCGUGUCGAUCUGUAGUCGAUCUUGCUCAAUUACAACAUUAAUAACACAACGAACAAGGGAUCGAGACCGUCCAUUUAUCAGCAUGGUAGUGUCGAUCUGUUACUGAGGCUAGAAGGAACUUUUCUUCAUCUAAAGGCCAAAUUACAGGUACUCCAAAAUUGGACUAAAACAAUCAAGCACUAAAUAUCAGACUAGUUAGCUUGACACCAUCAUUUGAUCGCACACCUGCAGUGCCUGGUUUGCAUAGUAUCUUACAUCCACAUCAGGAUCCUCGCUGAGCUCAACAAGGCAUGGCCUCACGGUCUUCUCCACAACCUGCAGUGUAAGUAUUGAUGAUAUUCCCCAAUAACAGGAACUUCAAGUGUUGCACCUUAAAAUAGGAUAGUAUAAAAACCAUAGGAACUCACGGAUUGAUCAAGGAUCGGUAUAAGCGACUGCAGUACUUUUGCAACAUUGAACUUGAUGUUAGGAACCCUGAAAAUUUAGACCGUUAGUGAGACAUUGAAAAGAUGUGAUCCCUCUCAGAAUGCCCUGGUCACUCACCUGUCCUUUGAGGAAUUAAUGACGACUGGAAGCAGCUUUUGACAGGUGAUUUCUGCACCCAUUACAGGGGCCAGCAAUGAGAUAGCUUCCAGAAUUGUCAUGCGAUACAGGUAGUGCGGGUUGUUGAUCUUUUCCAGCACCUGAAAUAUCAAACAAAUGAGUUUUUAUGACUGCAGAAAUUCCAUGCAACAAAAUGAAUGCAAAUGCAGCAUGUGCUCCCUGAAGUUAGCUAUUCAUUGCUGGAUGCCAGGAUAAUAUGCAGCAGCUGAGAAGCAUGGAAUUUGGAGGGUGGUCAAUUCUUUUAGAGAAUACGAAUUUACUUCGUUUGGCAUGAUCAAACUUAAUUAACAUUUACAAAGGCGACAACAUUUGCAUACUGAGCCAUAGUCGAACCUAUUAUUUACAACUUAAUUAAUAUUUACAAAGGUUACAGCAUUUGCGAAUUAACUAAUUGGCACCAUUAGCAUUCACAAGGUAACAAACACACAGAGAAAACCUAAGCCAUAGAAUUAUGUACUGGAUGCUUAGCACCAAGGUCUAUCAGAGAUUAAACUAUAACCUGAGGCACAGAAAUGCAUAUCAGGUGUUCAGAUAGUAGAUAAAUAACCUGAGGAAUUAUAUGCUGCAUCGCCCACUCAGGACCAAACUCCUCUGCAAGCCGCUUCAAGUUGUUAGCAGCAGCAUCUCUGAUUGAGAAGACCUAAAAUUCAAAUUUUUGUUAGUUAAUCACACCGAUCCAACCAUCAGUCAAUACAUUACAAUGUCCUACAUGCCCUCAGGGAUAUAAGUAGAGAUGCUCAAGAGAAAUCCCCAUGGAAUUACAGUUAUGAUAUCCAGCACAUUCAUAACUGUAAUAAUACAAACCUUAUCUUCCAACCAUUGCAUGCAGAGUGCCCCCAACUUGUCAUCAAAAAACCCGACACCUAACUGACUUGCCAACAAUGGGAUGUACUCAAUUAUUGCAAGCCGGACUCUCCAGUGCCUAUCCUCUGCAAGUUCUACAAUGGCUGGUAGCAGUGAUUGAGACAGCAAAUCAAUUCCAAUAACCUGAAAGAUCAAAACAAAUUCACAAAUCAUCAGAAAAUUUGAAAAGAGAACACAAGGAACCCAACAUACUUGUAGCUGGUAAAAGAACAGCUAAUUUAAAGAUAAACAGAGAGAAAAAAGACAUAUUAACUCCAGUAUCAAAAAAUGGCACUAACCUGAUUAACUUGAUCAAGUUUGCUGAUUAUGUUGAGUCGAACAUCAGGAAAUUCAUCCUUCAACAAAGAAAGAAAAAUAGGAAGAAGUUGUUCAAUGGUAGCAUCCUGCCAAAAAUCAGAAAUUAAGAUGGAUCAGCUUUCAUUGACUGCCAACAGUUUGCAGCAAAUUCUAGAAACAUUUGUUUGCAUCACGGAUAGCACCUUCCCCAACACAGGAGCCAUCCCCAUAAUGACUGAAGCCAAAGCUGAACGAACAUGCUGGGACGAAUCUGAUGACAAUUCCUGUAAGUGCAGUUGGCAUGAGUUAGUUCGCUGAGGAAAAAAGUGUAACAAAAUGAUGUUUGAUAACUUCUUUCCACAACCUUAACACAUGGAAGAAUAUGCUGGAUUGCAAGCUGUGGACUUAAUAUGCGACAGAACUUAGUAACUUUUCCAGCAGCUGCUAUCCGCACUUCAGCCUCGUUGUCACGAAGGAGACGAACAUAUGCAGGUACUAAAUCAGCUCUAUUACCAAUAAAGAGAGUUAGUCCACUUGAAAAGUCAUGGGUUAACAUAGUACAGAAGAAUUUAGUACAUAUGUUUUACUAUCCUACUAUGUAUAUUAAAUUCAGGUGUCUUGUAACGAAAACACAUAAUACCUCGUAGGCUCAGGGCCAACAGCCUCACAAAGCUCAUACAAUUGAUUGGCAACCAUAUAACGAACACGCCAGGAUUUAUCCUAUCAAAGGAAACAAAGCAACUAUAAGCAUGUACCAUAUAUCAGUGUGAUGCAUUGAACUGCAAAAAGUUGCAAUCAUAAGACGCAACUCUGAGAAAUUAUGCAAUCACAAAUGUGUCUUCCGAUAACAUAUCCAGGCUAUGUAAACAAAUUUGUUGCAAUCUUGUAUGGAUGCAAAAUGGGAGCAACGUACCUGGGAGAAAUUGACAAUAACUGGGAGAAUAUGAGCUGCACAAUCUUGUGGUUCCAACAAUUUACCAAGUGCAGCACAGCCUUCAACAGCCAACAAACGCACUGAAUCUUGAUCUGAAAAAUAAAGAUCGUCAAGUUUUAGACAGUUCCAAUGAUGUUCAAAAUGCAUAUAACAAUGUGCAUACACUAACUCAUUGAUUCAAGCCUGGUUCUAAAAUAUUGGUCUAGUGUAGUGUGCCUUUCCGAGUAAAUUCUGACUUCAAGACAUUCAAGCAUUAAAACAUAUCUUGAACUUUUACUCAUUAUAGGGUAAAAAAGGAGAGGCAUGUUUCAGGCCCCAAGGACAGUUAAAAGAAGCACAGGCAACAUUAUGAAAAGAAACAUGUAUAAACACAUACAGUUAUCUUGCAGUGAAAAAUAAAUGAAGCAACACAAAACAAUUCAUUAAGACAUGUAUUAAAAAAAUACCAUCUUGGGUUAAAUCAUCAAAUAUAGACAUUAUUUCUGUCUUCAGAUGACUCUGUUCAACUGUGGCAGCAAACUUUCCAAGAUUUGAUGCAGCUGCUCUUCUGACCAUAGGCAUGUCAUCCUGACAUAGCUGACCAUAGAUAGUCCUCAAUUCUGUUUUCAGUUGGUCCGGUGCACUUGGAUAGGCUAUGUGGAAGAGACCACAGGACGAUACCCGAGCUGUAAACCACUCACCUGCUGCUAGCCUCUGAACAGAGUAAAACAUGGAAGAAUUAAGUUCUUGGACAUGAUAUGCAAGCACGAAAUUAACAUUCACGGAUUAUUUCUAUCAAGCACACUGAAGAUUCCCCAAAAAUGAAUUGGUAAAAUCAUAUUUUAACGAAAAUCUGCAUAAAUAAGAGAUCAAAUAGAAAACUGGAACAAAAGCAUGUGGAAUCGCAAGGUGUGAUAACAUAAAAUCUGCUAAGCAAUGAUGCCUCAUAAUCAAUGUUUUGCAUAUAUAAUUCGACCUUUGAAUUACACACCUGCAAAAGUACACUAUCAGGAACUGUCAGUUGCUAGCGCACAUGGUUUGAAAAACGAUGCUAAGCUCAGCAGUUUAGGAAUUGUUUAAGCCAAUCAAAACAAGAUAUACUUAAAAUGCUAAAGCAUGGGAAGUGGGAAACAAAAGAGCCAUACUUUAGUAGCAAGCUAAGCAUGCAAGACAAACAUGGAAAAUUAGAUAAAUAGUUGAAGGAAAUAUAAUGUGGAUGGUUUGAGCUAAAAACAUCCACAAAUAUUAAAUGGAUUAACAAUGGCAGCAUAUUUAUUUAGAACAACAACAAAAGAAGUACUUUCUGCUACUUAUGAAACUCUUACCUUUACUACUGGAAUGAACCAGUCGACAAUGUCAUUUUCCUUCAUCUGUGCACCAAUACGGCACAGAGAUUCAACUGCCUUAUCGCGGACACAAGUUUCCUCCACCGUACACAAUGUCUCCAAUGGUGGAAGCAAAACAUGAGCAUGUUCUACACCCCCAACAUAAGGAAUGAACACACCCAAUUCCUCGGCCAUUGCAAGAAGCACCUCAUCUUCAUCAUCAUUGUUUUCACUAAGAAAUGGAAUCAGUUCCUUUCUGGUUCUUUCUUCCCCAAGCGCCCGAGCAAUUGUGGAAAGUCUUCUGAUUGAGUUUAGACGCAAUUGGAUAUCCUCAUUCUUAAGCUCGUCAAUCAGUACAGCAAUUGGAUACAGAGGCUCAUCAAUCAUAGCCAUCAGGUUUAUCAAGGAUUUCUGAAUUUGUAAAUGAGGAAACAUAAGGAACUUUGUAAUUCUAAAAUUUGUAACAAAUAAAAAGGAAAAUUCAUUAUAACUUUGGUAGCAUAAACAAAGAGAUGCAAAUUAGAAAGGCAUGAUUGGAUAAAAAAUCAACAAUAAGAUCUCUGAUAACAUAAUCAAAGAUUAGAUGAACCAAACUAUUGCAAAAUUUACAAUUCAAGAAGUCCCUGGGAUUGACUUGCAUGAACAAUAUAAGAACGCUACUGUGACAGACAUGGUCCCGAGAACCUAUCCAAACAACAAGAUGCCUACCUAAAUAACCAGUAGGGCACCGCCUUCCAGGCUCCCACACACCCGGCAACCAAAUCCACCUCCACACACGCCGCCUAGCUCUCCCAACCAACAAGAAUCCAAACCAGGACGAACAAGAAACUCCCGCAAUCUCAUCCAAAACCAGCGCAAUCGAACCAAAACAACCCAGAUCUGGAAGGGGAACCACCCGAAACCGCACGAAGGCGGCACAAUCCCCCGACCCGCGGCGCCAGCGGUUGGAUCGAGGACCGGCCGCGGCGAUUGUGGAGCGUGGAACGCGAGAAGCAGAUCUAGCGGUGGAAGCAGGGAGAGAGGAGCGGCGGAUCUUACCUGACCUCCGGGGGGGCUCGGAUCGGGCUUCGGCGGCGGCGGCUAGGGCGGCCGGAGAAGGGGCAGGCAGGGGUACGAGCGCCCGAGGCGUCGCCGCUGGGAGAGAGAGAGAGAGAGAGAGAGGGAGGGAGCGGGAGGUCAGGAGGUGCGACGGGGUUGCGGAAUGCGACGGGGAGGUCGAGACGGACGGGAGGCAGUGGACGCCUGGACAGGAAGAGGGUGCUGGGGGGCGGGGGUCCACGGAAGAUUGGUCAGGGUGUGGGCCGGGACGGAGCGCCGCCGUCGGAAGGAGGAAUGUCUGCCUGUUUGGUGUAUCAAAGUAUUGGGCUGAAUUAGAUUUCCGCUUCGUGGUAUUUGGGCUCCCGAUGGAAUGCAGGGAAAAGUCCGGUAGAAAAGUUCGACUUCGAAUCUUAAAUUAUAAAACUGAGUAAUAUGCAUCAUCCAACUAUCGAAAUCACGCAAAUUUGACUCUUUGGAUAGUUUCAAAGGUGGUUUUGUAUUUUUUUAAAAAUAUAAAUAAAUUUAAUUAGAUCUAAAAAAUUAAAACUAAUCCAUUUUAAAUCAGAAAAAUAUGAACUAGUAUCAAAAAUUUUCUAAAAAAUGUAAUCUAUCUAUUAUUGCUCAAUUUGAAUUUUAUUUAUUUCAAAAUUAAUAGGCAUAACGAUAAGCAACCAAAUACUGUGAACAUAAAAAAAUUGGAUCCAAAUAACUGAUAAAUAGAGUGACAAUAGAUCUGUUACACUUUUAGAAAAAAAUUUAUACCCAUUUCGUAUUUUUUAUUUAAACUGAAUUACUUAUGAUAUUUUAGUUUAAAUUUGAAUAUUUUUAAUUUUUAUAAAAUAAAAAACCACCUUUGAAAUCACCCAAAGGGCCAAAUUUGCCUGGUUUUGACAUUUGAAUGGCCUAUGUUAUCUCGUUUUGCAGGUGAAGAUUGGAAAUCAGACUUUUGUACUAGUUCGAGGGUGAAACACACCUUCCAUUUGAGGGCUUGUUUCCAAGCAUGAAACCCCGUCGGGUUCCCUAUCCUUUCCACUCAGAGGAUGUUCGCGUGGAAUAUUUCCACGAGCCAACUAAUACGUGCCUUUGGAAACUAGUUUUGAUGGGGUUCUCGGACCCAAUCCCCGCGAUUUCCAAAUGCAGUGGCUUGGAAUCUUUCUCCUUCGUCUUGGUGGCCCCUUUUUGCCGGCUAUCCUUGUUAUCACAAGUCGUUUCACUCGCAUACGCUUGGGAGCUGAGGAUUAGGAUGGCGGAGCAGCACUCUAGAGGAGGAGGAAGGUCUCGGCAACUACUCCUGGCAGGAGAAGAUCAACUGCGAUUGGCCUGGAUCUGAGUCUGGAGGCGUCGGCGGCUGCAAGACAGAGGAAGAUGAAGGGCCAGAGCAGUCAAAGCACAAGCGAAAGGGUAAGUAAACCCUAAGUCACAGCGUGGUUAAAUAACCAGCGAUGGCCCUGAAAUUACUAUUCGGAAUGCGAAGAGUUUUUCUCAAGAUAAGAUUUAUUUUGAUCGGUAAUUUAGGGUUUCUUUGGGAAAAAUUAUUUGUUUAACUAUUUUUCAGGGAUGCCAUCUCGAAAAAAGGGGGUUUUGAAUUUAUGUACCAAUUUACUCAUUUUCAACCAUCAAAUCAAACUCGUAAAUUUUUUACACAACCCAUGCCACGACUUUUUGGAUCCUUUUUCCAAACCUUGGAAUUUGGAUUCAAGACUCGGAGGCUGCGGGACAUGUGUCAUCGAUGGCUUAUUUUUUAAAUUUUUAGAAGAUAAGGAUAGAAGAUUUAAGACUAAUUUGACUCUCAGCCUGAUUUUUCGAUUCAACCUAAGGCUCGGGGGCUAUUCCAUAUGGAGUGCGAGUUUAAUCGCACCCCAUAUAAAGAAAGAUUUGAAAACUACUCGGGGCAUGAGCACCUCUCAGCCUUUAUGCAGCCAAGAAAGUACUCAGAAGACACCUUCAAGAUGAAGUUCCAAAGAAGUUGAAAACGCCUUUAGAAGUACUAGGAAGCCUGCAGUACUCAAAUACGAAGAGCUCGGGGGCUUGUCAGACCCGGGACCACAGGACUGUGCACUUAGCAUAGACUUUCUGGAAUAAGGGAUGGGGCAUGUCCCAUACCUUAUACCUAUUGUAAGCUACUCGGACACGAGUAGAACUAGUCGGAACAAAAGGAAACUACCUGAGUAGUACUCGGGGUAGGACUCCUGAGCUCGUAUCUGGCUAGAAUCUCCAUGUAACCCUAUCCCCCAGACUAUAUAAGGGCGGGCAGGGACCCCCUCCAAAACAUCAUCAAUCUAAGACAAUACAAACCACCACACAGGACAUAGGGUACUACACAUAUUACGGCCUGAAUCUGUCUAAAGUUUCGUGUUCCUGAUCCUGGCAACACCCUACCUACAAUCUACCACCUCAGGCGUAUCCCUCGGUGGGCUUGGAGGUUAAACACCGAUAGCUGGCGCGCUAGGUAAGGGUGUUCAUCGAACAUCCACUAGCGAACUCAAUGGCAUCUUUUGACUUCACCAGGCGUUGUGCUCGAUGAGGGCACAACCUUUAUCUUCGGCUCCUGGAUCUGCAUCGCCAACUGCUCGGGUGGCUUCAAUAGCCAUCUAGUCGACAACAGGGAGCCGGAGGCAUCUGCAGCAACCCAAUGCAGUCGUCUCGAUGAGUUUGUCGACAACCUCGACGAGAUGCUGCUCCCUGACCUAGCCAGGGAGAUUGAGGAGGAGUCUGUUUCAGACGUGAUUUCGACUUGUGCUGCACCAGGUGACGGGUCUAGGGACCCUGGGUCCCCAGUAGGCCCACCUCUUAUUGACUAGUUCAAGCCCGCGUCUGGAACAAGCACUCGUCCGUAUAAGGCAACAUCUUCAUCUUGGCUGUCUCGGCCCACAACCUCGACUGACAACUUGGUCGGGAUGACUAAAUCCCAUAUCCUUGACUGUGGGAACGGUCGGAGGCUGGGUCCGUACCAAGACGCCGACCAGGGGUUCCGACUAGGCUCCGCCUUACACGUGCCCGCCUUCCCGACUGGCACGCUGGUCGGGAGGCCAGGCCUUGCUUACAAGCGGGCCCCAGGAGUAGGUACAAAGGAUAAGGAUGAGCCUCGGGGUCAACCUGUCGUACACGGCCAACCACUCCCUCCAUGGGGGUUACAGUCCCCUCUGCUGUGGCAGCAGGGCGCCACUAUUCUAUCUACCCGUCCUCGUGAAAGGACGGGGUGAAACGUCAUCAUGAUACGGCCCUAACGCCCCCGUCACGACGGAGUGGCCGAAAAAGGUGCCAAGGGUGGGGCGUGAUAGCCGUACCGUACCUAUCGAGCCCCCACAACCGCUAAUCGACAGAACAUGACACAUAGGGACAAGACAAGACGCUUGCCCCACGACAUAGGACUUGGACGGUGGUCACUGGAAGACUCCGACUAACGGAAUGGGAAGACCCGACUGACGAAGCUGACGACCCCGACCGGCGGGGCCGGGAGUCCUUUCUUUCUUUCCUCACACCCUUAGAUCUCCUGUAAUGGAGCCUCCCUUGGGCUAUAAAAGGGAUGGUCUUCCACCUAGGAAAAGAGAGACAACUCAUCACAUCCUCCACUCGAAAGCUUGUAACUCCCCAAAGUCUCCCGAGCACCUGGGCUCAAGCAAUACAACCGACUGACCCCUGACUGGACGUAAGGCAUUUUGCCUGAACCAGUAUAAAUUUUGAGUCAUUGUGUGCUAGGCCACAUCUGAUCACGAUGCAUGAUACACACUUCGAGUAGGUUUAGCUGCUGGCCAUUUCCGAAACCGACACCAGGACUUCUCGGGUCGGAUUCUAUCCGAUCUGGGGAGGGGCGUACCCGACUCCUAUCCGAGCUACGCAACGCGGCUUCUGUCUACCAGGAGUCCAUGCAAUUUGAGUCCCUCUCUAACCUGAAGGAGAACUUGGAUCGCCUACUCAAGAUCGGAGAAGGGGGAGCCACCGCUUGUUGGGAAGCCCCCAUCUUCGACAAGUACUCGGACUUGGAUGAUGACUCCAAACCCUUCUCAGGUAGUCAUCUGGGUCUGACUAUAACAUCAACACUGCAAGGCCAGUUUGUGUACUGGAAGGGCAUGGAGCCCUCUAAGCUACUCGAAUAUGACUCCCGCCUUGUGGCCUUCACACGAGAACUGCCUUUCCAAGGAGGCAAGCCCCUCUCUCCCAUCGUUGAGGAGAGAGAGGGUGAGAUAGUACUAGUUGACCAUAGCUCCAUUGGUGAAUUCUCGCCAGAACGACAUGUCUACAUGGCCUCCAUCCAUGAGCAUGGCGAUGAUGACGAACCAGGGAGAGAGUAUGAUGAUGAACUGCUCGCGGAUGUCUCUACUGAAGAGCGCACGGCGGACGCCCCUCAAGAUGAAGACGAGGAGUGCAAAAGGAUUCGAAGGGCGAAAAACGCCAAACAUGCUAAAUGCAGGCGGAACACAGAAGCUCGCUCUUCCAGUGCAUCACCCUCUGCAAGUCCCUCAAUGCGCCUCUCCCCAACCAAGACAGCAAGGGGAAGGAGAAGGAGGACAACAAGGGAGACAAGUUGGGGGCGCAAUGUUUCCAGGACCCCAAAAACAUCGUCAACAUCAUCUUCGGCGGCAACAGCGGCUUCCCCACCAAGCGCGCGCAGAAGCUUACUUUGCACGAGAUACUGUCUGUCGAGCCAGCGAUACAACGGCCUCUUGAGAUGCAAUGAGGCCCCGAUCUCUUUCUCCCGAGAGGAUCAGUGGACCAAGUUCUCUGAGCCGGGAAAGUUCCUGCUUGUUCUAGGCUAUUUCCGGAACCGACAGUUUGGCGCCGUCUGUAGGGAGGACAUCGUGCAUCCAUCAUCCCGGCGAUCGGAUGGCCUCCAUUUCCGACACCUCCGACCUUGCGAGCUUGGGCGGUACAAUCCGCUUUGGCUCACUGGAGUUUCCCGGGGUCCCGCGCUUUGGGCUGUGGAAAACCUCCCGUCUUCAUGCCCUUCCAGGCCUUCCGCUUUGGAAGCUUGGACUUCAUUGCUGUCACACCCUAAAAUAUUUAAUUUUAGGAUGUGAAUAUCUUUUAGAAUAUGUUCAUCCAUCUUUAGGAUUUUUCAAGAAUUUUCCAGAAUUUUCUGGAAAUUAUUCUCUAUUUCCAUAGAGCUAAAUCCAUUUAUUGGAAAGCUCUAAAAAAUUUUCUUGGGCUCUGAGUAUUUUAUUUGGACUCGUUGUGUCCUGGGUUUUACCUGAAAUUUUUGGGAUUAUUCAGGAUAUAUUUAUCUAGACUUUUCUAGAUUGAUUUUAAGCUUGAAAAUAUGUUCUGAAAAAUGAAUUCGUUUUCUUUUCAUCUUGAGCUGGAUUCAACUCAUUUUGGGUCUAUUCUGCCUUAAACCCUACAAACGUGCUGCGUGCGAGCUUCUACUUGGUCACCACUGUUAUGUCGUCAUGUGUCGCGUUUCAUCGAGGAAAUAGACCAGAAGCUUCUCUUUGAGGAACCCUAGGCGAACCCCCUCGCUUCCCUUUCUCUUUCUAUCCCGGAGUUUCAUUGCUCGUUGAAGCUAACGAACUGCUAGUUCCGAUAACCAGAAUCGCCGCUGCAAGGUCCUGAACUGAUCCGCCAAUGACCUAGCCUGAUCUCUCUCUUUUCUAUUUCAUGUUCUCAAAUAGCAUGUUUGUGUUCAACCAGUAUUGUCAGCAUGUUUUCAUGUUUAGUCUCCACCUGAACCUAUUUCGGCCCAUAAUCGAAAUUGCUCGACCACUCUCGUUUCCUCUCUCCUUUACCUCUUCCUUCCUCUCUUUGCUCGCUAACACUGUAGGGCCUGCUGGUCAGCCCAAUCUCGUUUCUCCCGUGGGCAAUCUGGACUCAAGGACGAGUCUCAGACCGAUUGUGACGCCCUGAAAAUUCACCAAAUUAAAUUACGCGCUAAGAUGUUUUUGUUCAAAGCUUUGUCGUCGUCGAAGCUCGUUCAACCCUAAAACCCUAAUCCUUUCCCGGAGACGCCGCUGUUCAGACGCCCGACUCCAGCUGUCUGCCCAGCCCUUUUUAAUAUCUGUGCCCUCUUUUACCACAUCGCCGUCCCAUUCCGCACCGCCCGGCGGUCUGUCGACCACGCGCGACCGCCUACCCGCGAUCCGCGCCGACGCGAUUCCCCCUCCCUCUUUUCUCUUCGCGCAGCGUGCGAAUGUCGCGCGCGCGUGGCCGACCAGCCGCGGGCACCGCCGCGAAUAUCGCCGGUGCGCGUCGCCUUUCUUUCUCCCUUUCUCUUUUUCCUUCUACCAUUUCUUCUUUUCUUUUCCUCCUCUUUUCUAUUUUCCUCCUAUUUCCUUUUUUUCCUCUUCUUUUCCUUUCCCUUUCUCCCCCUUUUCCUUUCUUUUCUUUCUUCUCCCCUCCCUCCCUUCUCUCUCUCUCCUUCCUUUCCCCCUUGCCGCGCGCCCGAGCGCCGCCCUGGCCACGCUUGCCGCGCGCGAACCCCUGCCCGGCCUCCCUCCGCGACGCGCACGCGCAACGCGUGGCCGCGCGCGCCGCGCCGUGUUGGCCGCCGCUCGCGCCCCCGCCCUGGCCCGCGCUUCGCCGCGCCAUGCGCGCACGCGCGUGCUCGCCCCCGAGCGUAGCCGCGCCGCCCGUCGCCAGCCGCGCCGCCCGCCGCUGUCCCCUGCCGCACCCCGCGCGUGCGCUCGCCACUGUGGCCGCACAGCCCUCCCCCACAUGCGGCGCCUCGGCGCCCUCGCCACACCACGACGGCCGCGAGUGGCCAAGCGCCAUUAAUGGCGCCCGCCGAGCCCGGUGACCGGUCCCGCCUCCCCAUCGCCUCGAGCGCCUAUAAAAGGGGCCGAGGAGCACCCCCCGGCUCCCCACAACCUGCACCGCCGCCCAGCCCCUCGCCUCCCCAAGCCCGGCGCCGCCCCGCCGACCCACCUAGCGCCGCCACCCCUGCUCCCGUGGGCACGCCCCCUCGAUCCACCUCGGUCCAAGGUGAGGCCGGGGAUGGAAUCCCCUCGCCUCCCCCUCCCUUUUCCCCCCACCCCCGGGCCGCCGUCGAGCCCUGGCCGCCGGAAUUUGGCCGGCGCAGGAGCUCUUCCCCCCUUCCUCUAUUUCCCAUGGAGAGGGGAGGAAGAAAGGGCUUUUUGCCCAAAGCCCCCCCCCCUUUUCCUGUAUUUCCCCAAAAGAACCCCCCCUAUGCGUCACUUUGUAUAAAAAUCCCUCCACCUUUGUUUAUUUCGAGUACUAGCCCCCACCAUGUGAACGUAAAAUCAAAUAAACCCCCACCUCUUUCUAAUGAGCCCCAAACGUCUCUAGAAAUUAUGACCAAGUCCUUUCCACACCAUAUAUAUUUACAAAUAGGCCCUCGGACCCUUGUUUAGACCCUAACACCCCGUUAACUCGUCAUUUUAUGCGCCAAACGACCUCCGAUCGACCUGAAACUUUACCACACCAUUUCUAGUAUUGUUCCAACCAUGCCAUUACGAAACCACCCAAAAAUAUUACCCCUAUCUCUAUAACUAAAUUAUUUCCGAUUCAAGCUCAAUGAUAAAAACUUUUAGUUCUUUCGCUUGAUUGUGUGCCUGUUUGUUUGCGUCGUAGGACAGGGAGUGAAUGAGGAAGGUCCCGACUGUGAUCAAGCGAACGAGGACCAGUUCUGCAACCCCGAGCCCGAGGGAUAGUGCUUCGAUCAGGACCUCCCGCAAGGGUUUGAUGAUGGCAAGUUCAAUCCCGCCCUUUGAUGCAUGUUUCUGUCCUAGUUUUUAUAAACACAACCCAGUGGCCUAUUUUAUAAAAUUGCAUGGUUUUGCUUACUGAAAAUAUGGUAGGAUAGCCACCCUUGUUUGUGAUAACCAUACCUUGACCACCUGGUUUUAUAAAGAAAGUGUGUGUGUGUGUGGGAAGAGAUAAAAUAUGGUUUUGAAAGACGAGUCAGACGGAUGGAUGGCAUUUCUGUAUGAAUUGCCGUUGGUGUGCUCGUACCUGUGUGGUAGAGCGAGGAAGGGAGAUAUCCAUCUUGUCACCCCUAAGGACCGAGUUGAUGUGUCAUCUCACCUAGCUUCCUAUCGUGCAAACCACUUGACCGUUGUAUGGGCAACGGCUUAGCAUAAAUCCCACUAGUUAGUCUGAUAGCCAUCAGGAGAGCUGAGAGCAACGGGUGAUCAAGGAGAAGGGAUAAGCUCUGUGUGACUUAUGCCCCGGUUAAACCUCGGAGAUAGGUCGAAUGACCCCUUGAUGGAUCCCGUGGUGGCUAGUCAGGUCUAGCUAAGGUGGGUAAUGGCUUUGUUGGGAUCUGUACCGACACUAAGGUGAUCGUGCUGUGGUACCCCACCUGUGGGUAAAGUUGCACACCUCUGCAGAGUUAAAAUCUAUUCGAAUAGCCGUGCCCACGGUAUUGGGUAAGUUAUGGUGUGGUCACAUAACUAGUGUUUCUCUCCGGGAAUGGUUGGACUGGUGUGGGUUGUUUGGAAAGUGUCCGGCAGUUGUGCCGUGUGCUACGGCGGACGGGGAGUCCGGUAGCGGCUUAAAACUUGGAUCCUGUGUGGAUCAACAUCAUGUGCUUCUUGGUACUAGAAAACUUGUUUUGAAAAUGUCUUUAAACGAACCGUUGCAUACAACCGAGUUUUCCGCAAAUGAACCAUAACCGUACCCUUGGAUUGUCCUGUGCAUUGAUUUCUGUCAUACCCCCUCCGUGGGUGUGAUUGGACUUGCUGAGUACGUUUGUACUCACCACAUUCUUACUUUUUACAGAAGAAGACCCAGACUACCUCCCCGAAGACGUCGAGUAGGGUUUCGUCCUGCAACCAGUCUUGCCUGUGGUUAGGGCCACCGCUGGAGUUCCGCAUGGCACAAGACUCUGAUGACCCUCUUUUCAUAGCUAGUAUAGUAGUGUGGGUUUUAGUUGUAAUCCUCGCGAUAGUGGCGCUUCACUGCCCAUUACCGCGCAGAGUUGUACGGUGAUGUACCAUCUGAUGUAAUAAAAGUGUUAUCAGCCUCCUGGGACUGAUAAAGCAUCACUUUUAAGUCUUCCCUGAUGGGGGACGCUUCAGGUGGUAUCAGAGCCGUAGGCUGGCCGUAGAACGUGACUCUAGACACGAGACCCUUUUUCCAGGCCCUAGGACAUGUUCUAACUUAGUUCUUUUCCUGCAUAAACACUCACCGCUGAUUCUUGCCCCGUUCCAGAUGGCUGACAAUGGAUGGGUUGACGGAAUCUGCUACGCAGAACCCGGCCUUCCUAAGUUAUUGAUACUCAGCCUGGAACGCAUCGGAGUUAUGGAACCACCAGAGUAUGCCUACCAAGAAUACACCUCCAAGGGCAUCCUUCGGUGUGACAUGAUGGUCUUUGUGGGAAAAAGCACCCGCUACCCUGAUGUGGACCCCUGGUUCAUCUCCACCUCUGGCUUGCGCUUCCCUGACACCUACCGAAAGGCCGCCCGUAAAGCCCUGCGACGACUGCGUGUGAUCUACAAGCACUACCUUCAGCAGACUCCUAUGGGAUUUUUCCCACCUACUGAAGGAAGAGGACGCACUUGGAUUGCCCGGAUGAGAGGACUCGGAAGAGAAGAAGAAGACCUAGAAGAUACGGUCUCCCACCUAUCCAUCUACCUUACCGGCUUGGAUGAACUCUACCGCGAACAGGCGGCACAACUGAAGCAGCUAAUCCAUAGGGCAGAAAAAGCAACCCAGGAAGCAGCUGGAGGAGCAGCCUUUGGAUGGUAUACUUCAUUAGGCCUUGACUCAAUCCACACCUAGAAGCAGCUGGAGGAGCAGUUUCACAUUCAAUACCACUCGGAAGUUGCGGAGGCCGGGAUUGCUGAUUUGGCACAAGUCCGACAGAAGUGAGGAGAAAUCGUGGAAGAAUAUAUCCAAUGCUUCAGAGAGGUCAAGAACCGAUGCUACUCGACCCGUAUUUCAGAAAAGGAGGCAGUCAAGCUGGCAUCCUUAGGACUUGUAAAGCCGAUCAAGGAUCUGGUUUUCCAAUUGGAGUUCAAUUCUUUGGCGCACCUGGUGCAGAAGUUAACAACGUAUGAGCAGCGCCACCUAGAACUGUACCAGGACAGGUUCAAGCGUCAAGUAACACUGAUCGACAUAGAAGACACUGAAGACUCUGGGGAUGACCAAGAAGUAGCAGUUGCGGAGUGGAUUUGGGGGGCAAAUCCCGUGUCCUGUAAGUGGGUGAAAUAGCAGGGACCUGCAAAAGGUUUUGACUUCGACAUGAACAAGGUUGAACAGAUAUUUGAUCUAUUAUUGAAGGAGAAGCAGUUGAAGUUACCUGAAGGCUGCAAGCUUCCUAGAGCACAAGAGCUGCAAGGGAGAUCAUAUUGCAAGUGGCAUCAUUCUUUCACUCAUAACACUACUGACUGCAAAGAACUUCGUCAGCAGAUCCAAUUGGCUAUUGAGCAAGGCCGAUUGAUCUUAGGUCAAAAUGCCAUGAAGAUCGAUACCCAGCCUUUCCCAAGCGUGAAUAUGGUAGAGUGUUAUGACCGAUCUACGAGAUGAUAAUUGGAUUUCACACUUGGCAUUAAUAUGUCAGGGCUUGCACCACGUCGCCGCGCUAGGAAUGAAGAGGUCGAUCCCUGCGAUCGGUCCCCAAAAGGGGAAAAGGGAUAUAUCACGGAAGAACAAAUAAGGCAUGUCAGGAAUCAGCGGCCGGCUUCUUCCGAUCUCCUCAAAAAGUAUGAAUACCAGUACCAGCAACGCCUCCAGCAUGAGUCGGAGGAAGAAGAAUAUGAGCGUCGUAUUGGGAAAAGUUUGAAGAAACGGGGAGAUACACAUGAUCAUUGGCAUUGCCCAUUCUUCAAGUAUUGUUGGGAUUCUGGCAUGAGCCGAUUGCCUACCGUCAAAGAUUGCCCGGAGUGUAGAUCUUGGAAGCGUGAUGCAGAAGGGGUCUCAGUAUUUUGAUGUUUGGGACUUGUGCCGCCCCAGCAUGAGCAAAUUCAGCCACCGCGCAAAAAGGUGGACUUUGAAGAGGAGGAGGAUAAGUAUCACCGGCCGCGCUAGUGCCCUGAUGGGCUUAACCGUUCCUAGAAACACAGGGUACAGCGGUUGCGCAGUCUGGAGGAAGCCGAGGCGAGAUAUCUUGAGACACUAAGAAAGGCGCACCUGGAUUUGGCGGACAAAGUCCAUUACACCUAGAAGAGGGAGUCGCGCCCUCCCAAGAAGGAGUGGCGUCCAAAGCCAACAAGAGCCGAUGCAAAGAUAUCGGCUGAUGCACAUAUGGUGUUUGUACUCCCCGCGAAGUUCCAUGCCCAAGGCCGUGAAGAGUUACCGGUAGCCCAACUUGACUUGGGGUCGCGGCCAGUUAUAUUUGAUAAGCCUUGAGCGAAGAACUACAAGCAUUUGAAGGCUUUACACCUCAAGGGUUACAUAAACGGCCAGCCUAUCAACAAGAUGUUGGUCGACACAGGAGCAGCAGUUAACAUAAUGCCGUACUCAGUGCUGCGUUGGUUGGGGCGGUCCACUGGAGAUCUGAUCAAGACCAACGUCACGCUGAGCGAUUUUAACGGCCAAACAUCAGAGGUACAAGGCGUCCUUAGUGUGGAUCUGACCGUGGGAAGCAAGACUGUCCCAACCUCUUUCUUCAUUGUCAACAGUAAGAGUACAUACACUGUCCUACUUGGCAGGGAUUGGAUCCAUGCCAACUGCUACAUCCCUUCCACAUUGCAUCAAUGUCUAAGUCAGUGGGAUGGAGACAAGGUAGGGGUGGUUCAUGCGGAUGACUCGAUCGAGAUCUCAAUUGCCGCCAUGAGCAUCUGGGACAUGGAAGAUCAAGAGCCAAUCUCAGGGAUCAGUUUGGAAGGUUGUGAUCGCGUCGAAGCUACAAAAAAUGGGGUGAGGCUAGUCUUAUCCACUAGCCUUACGGAGUAAACGAAGCACAAAGGGCGAGCUAUUUUAACGCACUUCGCGAGGCCGAUCCCCGCAAUCGGCCCCAAAGAAUAAAAUGUAAAUUUUUGAUGACAAGUGUUUUACAUAAUUAUAGCAGUUGCAAGGAGGCCUGCUCUAGCAGCCGACCAUACAUCAAUUGUAAAGUUUCAAAGAUCAAUGAAGGUUAUAAAGCGGCCGAUCUUAACGAUCGGCCGAAACUCUUUUGUCAUUUUCUCUGUCCAUUUGCAAUGUUGACUUAACAGAUGACGGAAAGUUAGGAUACAGGUUUACAUCAAAGAAAUUGACAUUGGUCCUGAGGAUAAGCCAUGACCAACAUUUAUCAGCAAAAAAUUAAGCCCGUGUCUACGAGUGCCAAUGAUAGCUUUGCUGAAGGAGUAUGCAGAUUGCUUCGCCUGGGAUUAUACGGAGAUGCCUGGGUUGGACAGGAGCAUAGUCGAGCAUCGGCUCCCUCUCAAGAUGGGAUUUUGGCCAUUUCAGCAGCGAGCCGACAAAUGAAGGCUGAAGUUCUGGUGGAAGUCAAGAAAGAGGUGGAGAAAAUGCUAGAAGCAGGAUUCAUCAGGCUGUGCAGGUAUGUCGAGUGGAUUUCAAGUGUCGUACCUGUGCAAAAGAAAGAUGGCCGAUGGUGAGUCUGUGUAGACUUCAGAGACCUCAACAGGGCUACUCCAAAGGAUGAAUACCCGAUACCUAUCACGGAGACAUUGAUCAAUGCAGCUGUUGGUCACAAGAUUUUGAGUUUCAUGGACGGCAACGCCGGCUAUAACCAGAUUUUUAUGGCUCCGGAGGAUAUAAACAAGACAGCGUUCAUAGUGUCCGGGGCUGUAGGACUGUUCGAAUAUAUGGUCAUGACCUUUAGGUUGAAGAAUGCCGGCGCCACGUAUCAACAUGCCGUGAACUAAAUUUUUCACGAUUUGAUCGGCAAGUUGGUGGAGAUAUAUAUCGAUGACGUCGUGGUGAAAUCUGCGUUGGUUGAAGGGCACUUGGGAGACCUUCGACAAGUACUAGAACGAACCAGAAGGUUCGGGCUUAGGAUGAAUCCGAAGAAAUGCACUUUCGGUGUAUCGGCUGGUUAGUUCCUGGGUUUCCUGGUUCAUGAAAGAGGAAUCGAGGUCGGCCUAAAGAGUCAAGAAGCUGUAAAAAUAAUGGUGCCACCCCAUCACUCUAGCAGCCAGUCAGAGUUUUACCUUCAGACCAAGGACGCCCGCAUCGACAUUUGAAGAUUCUGCCAUCUGAAACCCCAACGAAGAUCGAGAGCCUGGAAAUUGGAUCUAGGGUUUGCUGCUAAAGUUUCGAGUUCAUGCUCUAAGGAUUUGGUCCGGGUCUUUGCGGUUAGGGUUUAUGAGCAAGGGUUUUGGAGAGUAACUUGGAUUUAGGGAAUCUUUGAAGAUCUGUUUCAGGAAGGUUUCGGAUUUAAGCAGAAAAUGAAAUUGAUUUGAGAAUCGACUCGGAUCCAAAUCGGCAUUUUGAGGGAAAGAACCGAUGCGUUGCCAUCGGCUUCCAAGAAAUCGGCUUCUUGACAAGGUUGCAGUUUAACUUAAAAGGUUUUUAUUUAUAGGGGGAAAUGAUUACAAAAGGGGAGCCGAUUGCUCCUAGAGCCGAUCCAUCGGCUUAAUCCUACGAUCUACCACCAGAAGGUGCCUGAGACUCUGCGGCGCUUGAUCGGAGGAGCCAUGCUAGCAUCACUGUCGCCGUCGCUGCUGUCGCUGUCGCUGCCGCUAUCGUCUCCGCUGCUGUCGCUGCUGAAGCCGCUGCUGUCUUUGGUUUCGUCGUCGUCGUCAUCCUCCGACGAUUCGCCAAGCAGGAAGUCUCCUGCCACCAAGUCCUCCUCAGUUGAGGAGGAAUCGACUUCUUCCUCCAAGGAAAAGAAGUCCCCCUCCCAGGACACGUCGUCCUCGUCGUCUUCAUUCAGCUCCCCGCCGAGGAGAAGCUGAAGAUCUUCACCAUUGGUCAGGGAUUCGUCAUCCUCUAACCAAGUUUGGAAGUCCCACUUUCUGCAUCCCAAUGCAGAGGAGAGCAGGCCUCGUAGGCGGCAAUGGGGUCAUAUUCUGGGGUGGCUUCUUGAGUGGACUCGGACUCAAAGGAAAUGGCGGAGGAAGCAGAGGAAGAAGAAGAAGCCAUUGCGAGAGAAGGACGGUUGUAUUGGUGCGUUUGCUAAUGGCUGAAGGAAGGGGACGAGUGAAAAGAAAACUACCGGGGACAGGUUUAUAAAGAUGGAGUGGAAUAUGAAUCGGCAUCGUGACGGUUUCCAAGGAGUUAGAUGCAGAGUAGUCACAUCUUGUGGAAGUGGAACCAGCACGCGUGUACGGAUUUUGGAAGACGAAGAGGCGGGGCGAUAAAUGAGAAAAAAUAGUUUCAGAAUAAUUAUUGUCGAAACCAGGGGCAUGUGUUAUCGCCAUAAUUUAGCUUGGCCAGAAGGUGGGCUGCGAGCAAGAUGGGCUCAAAGGAUAAUCGAAGUGGGCUUGCGAAUCGGCCUUUGCGCGGGCGUUUUAAGGCCAGGAUCGGCCAUGUAUCUAGAUAGGUGUGUGCAUUUAAAUUAGUUUAGAUAGAGAUAGCUAGGAUUCAUGUCAUAAUCAGUUAGGAUUGGUUAGGAAAGGCAAGUCUCCGGACUAUAAAUAUGUACCUUGGACUAUGAAUGAAGGACGAACAUCAAUCAUUCACAAACAACUCUCGGCGCAUCGCCACCCCUGUUUUAGGGUUUCUCGGGUAAGUGCCGUGCAGCCCCGAUCACGCUUCUCGUGAUGGGGGCAGCAUUGUUCCUACCUGUCUACCUUUGUGUUUCUCAUACAGAAGCAUUGUUGAUGGCGAGUAACACUAGUUAUCUUGGCGUUUAUAGGGAGCAUCAGCUCUUUCAUGCUUUAUUCAUUCAUCGUUUGUUACCUGUGAACAUUUAGCUGUCCUUGUACUCAAUCUUGGGUGUAAGAGCAGCACCUUGCUCUGUUAUUGAUUAGUAAAUCCAAUCUGUUAUGGUUAGUCUUUAUUCAUUGAAGAUUCAGCUUAACAUCCGCAUGAUUAGGCCCUUCAAAUGGGUUGAACGUUCCGGCAGUACGCUUAAUACUUUUUAUCAAUCUAAAAAGGGAUUGUUCCAGGAAUCGGCUCUCUGUUGGUUUUUAGGCCUCUGUUUAGGUUGCUAUUCUGUUACCUUUCGUAUCUGUUAGGCUUAAUUGCUCGUAGGAUGUUCCGGUUAUGCGGUGAAAGUUUUAACCGUCAUAGAUUGGACUAGCUUACUAAUUAUAGAGCAAGUUUUAUAUUACCAUCAGAUAUGCGCGCUUUGUUCAAAUACUUAGAUCCGAUCUGAUACUGGACACAAUCGGCUCUUUAUAGCCGAUAUCGGGAAUCACUCAAUGAGCCGAUCACGGCUCGGACUAAUGUUUACACGUGUCUGUGCAUGCAGGAAACUAACAUAAAUCACUUCUACACCUUCCUGAUCAGGUACAAGGUUAGGUGGCACGCCUAGCAACCCAGACGCCAGAUUGUGUGCCGGAUCCUGGGCCGUUGAUCGAGGGACCGGGGCCCACCACCAGUCCCGGGAGCCUCUCGGCUCCUCGUGUUGCCUAUCACUGCUCACCGGUGGGUUUUGACCGACAACAUUCUCGGCGAGGAGCCCACUCCUCUGACAUCGCUCAAGGGAGACACUCCCUCGAACGGGCCGCUAGCCGACCGCGACACUGAGGCUCUAGCGCGGUCCAUCGAGCUCAUGCUCGGUGCUGAACCCUCAGCGAGUGACAUGGGACCUGGUUCUAUUCUCGCUGCACAACUUCUUCCGCCAACUUUCCGACGGGACCCGCUAUCCCCGCCGCACCCAUCGUGUGGUCAGUUCUCAUUCGGCGUCACGAACGCUACAGGCGUACACGCCAGGGAGCUUCCAAGAACCAUGCCGCUACCUUUGCUCGCAACCAAGCUCGUGGGCAUGAUGGGGUAUGGCCCCACCUUGUUCCACGAUCUCCUCUCCGACAAUGACCUUCCUUACUAAGGGCUCCAGCAUCGGGGAUGUGUCAUCCCUCGGCCAUCCUGUGCUACCGGAAUGCGUCAUGGCUGAUGUGCAGGGGCUACAACCGGUUCCGGUGGAAAUCGGGGACACGCACGGCGGGGACCUACGGCAGCGGCAGGAGCACUGGCCACCACCCGCAUCUAUCCACACACGACGCAACUCCGAGCCUAAUGCUCGUGACGUGUCAUGCGGCACGCAGGCCCACACCCGUCAAGUCUAGCAGGCCAUCAUCGCGGAUGCCAACAGCCUCCCGAAUUGCGUGGGCCGGGCAGAACAUAGCCGCCGUGGCGAUGCUCCUAUGCAACCUUCCCGAGCCUGCAGACCCUCAACAGCAGUAGCUCCACCGCAACAUCCGGACGUUGGUGAAGCGUGCCACCAUGUAGCAGGUGGAAAGGUCCACGUCAUGCCACCGGCAUAGGGCUUCCUGCCCCGUUGGAGGGGUAGGCUCACAGCAGCCAAACCCCUUAGUCCAUUAGCGGCAAGGGCUUCCACCCCGGGCGGGUCGCGACACUGCAGCUGCACCAUGUCUCGAAGCGGCGUCCACCGCACAGUGCCCCCCAUUGCGCAGCCGGCUCGGGCCCAACUACGAUGCAUGCAGCGUCAUCCACUUGCUCCAAGUGGCUCGCCGCGGCGCGAAUGUUGACUGGGCCACCGUGGAUGUGGCCGAGGCUCACCAGCCUGAGGGGGAGCACGAGGAGGCGCCUUCUAGGCAAGGUGGCCGACCGUGCGACCGGGACGACGACCGGAGCCCCAUCCCGGACGGCCCGGGCCCACGGGCCUUCUGACGCCGCAUCCAGAAAGCGCCAUUCCCGCCACGCUUCCGACCACCCACCAACAUCACCAAGUACACCGGGGAAAUGAACCCUGCUGUAUGGCUGGAAGAUUUCCGACUCGCCUGCCCAGCCGGAGGGGCGAAUGAUGACUACUUCAUCAUCCAGUACCUCCCCAUUUGUGUCAGGGAGCACGUUCGAGUGUGACUCGAAUUCCUACCACCCAACAACAUUUGUAGUGGGGCGGAGCUCAAGCAGGUCUUCGUCAGGAACUUCCAGGGGACGUACGUGCGCCCCGAAAACUCCUACAACUCAAGAGCUGCAAGCAGUAGCCUGGCGAGUCCUUACAGGACUACAUCCGCACGUUCUCCAGGAAGUGCAAUUAUCUAACUGAUGUCAUCGACACAGACGUUGUUGGUGCAUUCCUCACUGGAACCACCUGCAAGUCCCUCGUUCAUAAGCUCGGUUGUUGAAAGCUAUGCACCACCCGCGAGCUUUUGGACAUUGCCAUGAACCACGCCUCCGACGAGGAGGCGGUCGGGGCGGUCUUCACUGAUGGCUGGACCAUGGGAAAGGCCAAGCCGGCAGAGCAGGAUGAGGGUCCCUCCAUAGUGUAGGAGAAGAAGAGGAGGAGGGACCGACGUCGCCCCAGCCCCAAUACGGUCACAGCGGCCGACCGAGCAGGCAAGCGACAAGGCAACGACGACCAUUUCGAGCAGCUCUUGGAGAAGCCAUGCACCAACCACGGCUUCCCCGUCAAGCACAAGCUCAAGGAUUGCGAGGUCCUCAAGUGGAUGCUGGAUUAGCCCAGUAGGUGCAAUGCCGGGGACCGCGACAAAGCGCCCAAGGAGCAGGGAGCGCGGCCCAAGGACGGGAACACCUUCCCUGACCCAAAGGGCUGCCUUAUGAUCUUUGGAGGCCCUGAGGACGACUGCAUCAAGUGCCAACACAAGGUCUGCCUCUGAGAGGUAUGUGCCGCCAAGAACUCUGUUGUAACACCCUAAUUUUAAAAUUAGGAACCUAACUAAAUUUUGAAUGAUUAUUUACAGGAUCCAUAAGGUUUUAUUCAAUUAUUUUGAUUUUAGAGCAUUUACUGUGAAUUAAUAGUAAUUUACUUGACCCUAAAAAGAAAUAUAAGGAAAUAUAGGUCUUGUGCAUUUCAUGCCAUUGCAUUGUUUUAUUGUUUGUCUUCCAUUUGAAUUUAAAUUUCAAAUUCAAAAUCAAAUGCAUUUGAAUGCAAUUUUUCUCCCUCUUUUUCCCUUUGGGCCCGGCCCAUUCUCUCUUUCUCUUUCCCCUCUCUCUUUUUCUUCCACGCGGCCCAAGCCCAGUCGGCCUUUCUUCCUUCCCCUCCCUUCCUCCCGCACGGCCCAACUGGCCCAGCUGCUUGCGCCUCCCCCGGCCCAGCCAGCCCGCGCGCACCUCUCUCCUUCCCUCCUCUCUCGAUGACAGCCGGGACCCACCUGUUGGGGUCUUCCCCGACCUCGAGCUCGAGCCGGGCUCGGAUUCGCGUUUAGUCUGGCAGCGGCAUGGCCUUCCCCCGCCGCACGACGCUCGGGCCCACAUGCCAAGGCACCCGCGGUCGCCGUAUAAAACUGCCACCCCGUGCCCUAGGACCUGCAAGACCAGCAGCCACCGCCUUUUGCUUCGCAACCCUAGCCACGCCACCGCCUUCACCACCACUCCUCGGUCGCCAUCGCCAUCACCGCCUCACCGCUCUUCUGUUGCCGCAAGCCACCACUGGAGCUUCGUCUUGGGGUGAGGAACCUCGCCAGCCUCUUUUCCC
This 31196-nucleotide long non-coding RNA is filed under the name Panicum hallii. RNAcentral describes it as "long non-coding RNA (PHAL_LNC000158)". Lineage: Eukaryota; Viridiplantae; Streptophyta; Magnoliopsida; Poales; Poaceae. The record is from RNAcentral.